UCAGGUGAAUGUCGGAUAUC
RNAcentral lists this microRNA (20 nucleotides) under Sus scrofa (pig). RNAcentral's name for it is "ssc-miR-9838-5p". The record is from miRBase by way of RNAcentral. Lineage: Eukaryota; Metazoa; Chordata; Mammalia; Artiodactyla; Suidae.